UACCUCUAGCUGGAAGGAAGAGCUGCGAAGAGGGCAAUUCAUCUAGCCAGCCUCUGUAAGUGGAACGUAGAGAAGAAAUCAGGAAUGGAAGUGGAAAUAAUGGAAACGUUAUUUUUGGCACAAAGGUGUUUAGCAUCAAGACUUCACUGCCUUUCUGACUAAGGAAACCUCAUGGUUUUUGGGCCACUCGGGGCGAGCUGGUAGUCAUGUCUGGAGGAAAAAUAGAGGCAAAGAACCAAGAGGCUGGGCCUUGGCCCCACCUUCCCAGAACGCUGGGGCAGAAUCUGUGCCAGUGAAUACCUCAGGAGAUAUCUGGAAGACCCAUAAAAGGAGCAGGAUUGAAAGACUCUGCUACUGAAUAAGGGAGAAUUUGAGAGUGAACACAGGGACAGGAGGGUCUGUCAACAGGAAAACGGGGACUGAAAGUCUGGGUCAGAAAUCCUGGGGGACUAGAGUGAGGCCAUGGAUACUCACAAGCCUGAGCUGGUCCCAAAUGCCAGAUCUUCUCUUCUCCCUGCCCAUCUUAACUCCCUGAGGCAGCUCUGGUUCCAGUUUGUGUUGCUCAAACAUUAGUUCUCUUCACCAUGAAUGUUCCCCACCGUGAGUGCUCCCCACCGUGAGUGCUCUUCCCUAUGAGUGCUCCCCACCAUCGUUGCUCCCCAUAAUUAGCAGGGUUUCAGUGUUCACGUUUGACUCCUUCAGGACCCUGGAUUCUGGAACAUUGCUGUGUUAGAUCCCCAGCAGAAAGACUUCUCCAGUGUCCCCAAAGACACAGACCAUGUGCUGGUGACAGCCACCAUCUAGACUAGAUGUGGCUAGAACUGUUUGUCUGUGACUCCAGAAGGCAGGAUCAACUGAGAGUGGAUAUUUGGUAAGACUGAGGCUAUAAAGGUCAAAGUUGCCCCCUGGGAUGCUUGUGCCUCCCGACAGAUGGUGGAGACAGUUACUGCAGUGACCCCCCCCCACCCCUCACUCUGCUCUGGUGCUCCUGGGGAGGAUGCCGCCAGGUCAAUCAGCUAGCAGGGGAGGUGGUGGGCAUGGCUUUCUCUGACAAAGGGUGCUGCUUUCAAGGCCUCUGGUCCUCACGUAACUAUCUUGCCAGGCCCCAUGCUAGCAGGCAGCCGGUCUCUGUGCGGCAUCCUAUGGCAGCAGGAGGGGUCCAGUUAAGCAGAGGUUCUUUGGAGGAGGGUCCUGUGUGGCCAGAAGAAACCCGAAUCUUCUCCACCACUUCUAGGUGGCAGAUUCCCACCCCACCCCAAGUCCAUUAACCAUGUAGCCUGCAAAUGCUGCUCUUGGGGACUUUCCUAAAAGCCAAGUGCAUCUCCCUGUCCCCUCCCACUGCGGCUCCAAGGUCCUUCAGCCCUAGACUUGGACCCUUUCCCAGAACUUGUCUCCAUCUAUCAGGGGCAAUGACUUUUGGCAUGGUGUGGGUAGAGAACUGAUGAUUCCGAAUAUUUAAACGGGCUGGGGACUUUCUUCACGACACUGAGACUUACAGUUCUGGGUCCCCUUACUUCUCAUCCCACAGCCCUUUUCAGAGAGCAGCAGGACGUUUGAGUUGGCUGGGCUUUCCUGGCAGCUGAGAAGGAUGGGCCAGCCGUACCCUGGUCUCCCUGAGCCUCCAUUUCCUCAUCUGUCCCAUGGGGGCAUUGGCAGCCACAUUGCAGGAUCAUGGGGGGCAGGGAUGAAAGGUUGAGGGGCAAGCUCUAGGUUUACAUUUUGUAAACACAGCCCGACUGUAUUAACGUUGCUUCCAUCCCACAAGCGCCACUGAUGUGCUGAGCCUGGUUUCCGUG
Long non-coding RNA from Myodes glareolus (Bank vole), 1796 nucleotides. RefSeq lists it as uncharacterized. The record is from RefSeq and is a predicted model, not a curated record. NCBI's taxonomy places the organism in Eukaryota, Metazoa, Chordata, Mammalia, Rodentia, Cricetidae.